Molecule: long non-coding RNA, 530 nt
Filed under: Homo sapiens (human)
Lineage: Eukaryota; Metazoa; Chordata; Mammalia; Primates; Hominidae
Description: FTX transcript, XIST regulator
Source: RNAcentral
GGAGACAGGCCACAUUUGGGCAGUACGCAUUCGGAGGGCUCUCUGGCUUUCCGAUCUUGGGUCGCUGUACUUGGCUCUGAAUACAGUCACCCCAUCAGAGUAGCAAAACACUGUGGUUGUAGUGUGAGAAUCCAAUGUUAAUGUUGGCCGAAAGCUCUUGAUUUUCUUCCCUGAGAACAUAGGCGUGAGGAUUUGGAUGUGUUUCCAAAUGCUUGUUACUCUUUGCCGUAAACCUGGAAUUUGGACCUAUGGCUGCCUGGGACUCAUACUGUCGUGGAGAAAGAUUGAAAAGUAGUUAAUGGCAGUGGUGGUAUGAAGAGGGUCUAAAAUGGCCGACUGCGGCAGGCUGGACACACCCUUCUUGUUUUGCCUGAUUUUCUGUCUGAUCUAAUGCUUUGAGACAUCUAACCAGUCAUUUACUGCAGUAGUUUUUUUUUUAACCCAUUAUUAGUAUUUCGUGUUGAUCUAAAUAUACAAUAGUGAUGGAAAGGUUAUUGUCUUUUUUCUUGUAAUAAAAGACUGAAAAUACA